CGGCGGAUCGAAGUCGUGUGUGAGUAGCUCCGUAUUUUCCGCGAAUAUUUCUGGCGAAAAGUGAAUUCUGUUUGCGAGAAAUUGUCGGAAGUGUCUCGUAAAGUGUUCGUCGUAACGUGAACGUAGAGUACGCGUCGUUAUUAUACGUCCAUAUCGUCUACGCGGCAUCGUUUGUGUAAGGGCAAUCAAUGCGUUCCCGCGGAAUUGCGAAAUCAUCCUCUUUGUAAUAAUUCAAGCCGUUUUCUCCCCGAAAUGCAACGAAAAUGCAUCGAGCAUUAAAUUAUUGCCAGAUUAACUUAGGCUACAUAGUCAAUUUCGCUCCAUCAAUCGGUGAAUAAUAAAUUUUUAUUAUUUGGUAAAGAACGUCAAGGAAUACCGCGUGUUGCGCGCAUUCGAAUUCGGCGGGAGUGCCGUGAAAAUGUCGCGUGUUUAUUUUUAUUAAUUUUAAUUUCGGAAAUGCCGUGCAAAUACAUUAUUAUGCCAUACUAAUGUCGAAUUUUUAAGAGACUUGUUUUAUAUCGAAUAUCAGGAUAUCGAUUCGCGAUAGCGGAAUUCGGGAAUGUCGUGCGGAUCUCGUGCAUUUAUUUUUAUUACCACCGCGAACAAUUCGCGUUCGACCGUCAUUAAUAAUUUUUCGUGAAUAAAGUGCAGUGCGUAAAUGUAACGAACUCUAAGAAGACAAUCUGACAGUCUGCCAAUGAGAGGAGGAGGAGGUCUGGGAGACAUCGGGCGAUAGCGGAGCAACCUUGUGAUUGAUUUAGUCGUAGUCAAUUUCGUUACAUCGGUCGGUGA
Non-coding RNA from Nylanderia fulva, 792 nucleotides. NCBI's taxonomy places the organism in Eukaryota, Metazoa, Arthropoda, Insecta, Hymenoptera, Formicidae. The record is from RefSeq and is a predicted model, not a curated record.